This 429-nucleotide ribosomal RNA is filed under the name uncultured prokaryote. RNAcentral's name for it is "bacterial SSU rRNA". It matches the Rfam family "Bacterial small subunit ribosomal RNA", at positions 355 to 776 of the family's 1533-position model. RNAcentral also lists the same sequence under 1 other name. The record is from RNAcentral.
UGGGGAAUUUUGGACAAUGGGCGCAAGCCUGAUCCAGCAAUGCCGCGUGAGUGAAGAAGGCCUUCGGGUUGUAAAGCUCUUUUGUCAGGGAAGAAAUAGCCUGGGUUAAUACCCUGGGUUGAUGACGGUACCUGAAGAAUAAGCACCGGCUAACUACGUGCCAGCAGCCGCGGUAAUACGUAGGGUGCGAGCGUUAAUCGGAAUUACUGGGCGUAAAGCGUGCGCAGGCGGUUUAGUAAGACAGAGGUGAAAUGCCCGGGCUUAACCUGGGAACUGCCUUUGUGACUGCUAGGCUAGAGUGUGUCAGAGGGGGGUAGAAUUCCACGUGUAGCAGUGAAAUGCGUAGAUAUGUGGAGGAACACCAAUGGCGAAGGCAGCCCCCUGGGUCGAUACUGACGCUCAUGCACGAAAGCGUGGGGAGCAAACAGG